Molecule: ribosomal RNA, 438 nt
Filed under: uncultured bacterium
Lineage: Bacteria
Description: bacterial SSU rRNA
Rfam family: Bacterial small subunit ribosomal RNA
Source: RNAcentral
GAUGAACGCUGGCGGCGCGCCUAACACAUGCAAGUCGAACGGCACCCCACCUCGGUGGGAAGCGAGUGGCGAACGGCUGAGUAACACGUGGAGAACCCGCCCCCUCCUCCGGGAUAGCCUCGGGAAACCGUGGGUAAUACCGGAUGACGCCCGGACGACGCAUGUCGCCCGGGCCAAAGCCCAGACGGGAGGGGAUGGCUCCGCGGCCCAUCAGGUAGACGGCGGGGUGAAGGCCCACCGUGCCGACGACGGGUAGCCGGGUUGAGAGACCGACCGGCCAGAUUGGGACUGAGACACGGCCCAGACUCCUACGGGAGGCAGCAGUGGGGAAUCUUGCGCAAUGGGGGGAACCCUGACGCAGCGACGCCGCGUGCGGGACGAAGGCCCUAGGGUCGUGAACCGCUUUCAGCAGGGAUGAGACAAGACGGUACCUGCAGA